UUUGUUUGAUUUAUCAGACAAUGAACUCGGUUCAUUCCGGCUGGAAGUGGUGUUUUGCCUUCUGUGGGUGGUGCCUCUAAUCUCAGUUCACCUUUUAAAGCCUUUGCUAUGCUACUUUCAGUGUGUCCCCUGUGUGCCCCAUUCAGAGAUUAAUCAGAGGCGGGCUGUGGUUCAGCUAUCACUUCAGUUCUCAAAGCCUUGGCCGUGCUGUUUUGGGUCUGACUGUGCGCGCCCUGUGCGGGGUCAUCAACAGAACUGUGGACUCCCCACCCCGCCCUGCCCCCGUAACUCUCCUCUCCACACUCUGGCCCACGAGGACCCCUUCUCUCAGCUCUCAAUCCAGAAAGCUGGAAAUAUUAUUUCAGUUUUAGCAGCCUCCAGGGCUGACCCUUUCCCAGCUCGGUGCUUGGGGCUGCCCUCAGGGCAAAGCUAUGAGAAAAGAGAAAAAGAGAGAGAGAGAGAGAGAGGGACAGGGAGAAAGAGAGAGAGAGAUCUGACAAAUUCAUUUCCUUGCAGGUCACUUCUCCGAGCUUCAAUUUCCAUCUCCAAUGUGCCUGCUUUGGCUGCAUUUUCAGGCUUCAGGGAGCGGCUUCUUGUAUUUUGUCCGGAGUUUUUAGAUGCAGUCUGCGACAGAGGUAAACCGUGGUGCCCUGCUAUGCCAGAGAUGAAGUCUAUUCAUGUGGAAAAGAACAUCUUCAAGGAGUUUGGAGAGAACAAAGAUGACAGCGGGAUGGGACAGAGUUGA
RNAcentral lists this long non-coding RNA (745 nucleotides) under Felis catus (domestic cat). Its description in RNAcentral is "lncRNA (ENSFCAG00000048375.1)". Lineage: Eukaryota; Metazoa; Chordata; Mammalia; Carnivora; Felidae. The record is from RNAcentral.